GUUCCUUCGGAGUGUUGCCUAUGGGAGGUAACCUAUGCAGGGUUCCAUUGCUUUGUGUUUAACAUCAAUCUCUCUUAGGAGAGACGCCACUUCAACCAUCUACCUCACGUAUCCACAACCUGACCAAUGAUCCUUCAACAGUGGAAUUGUUAUCCUGACAAUUGUGACAGCAACUUGAAUGGUUCACAGGUGGAGGCCAAUGGUUUAUAUCCUGCCCUUUUUCCCAGUAGAAGAAUGAGCCAGCUGUGCCUCUGCACUCUUGACACCUACGUGA
This is a long non-coding RNA of Rhineura floridana, 274 nucleotides long. RefSeq lists it as uncharacterized. Lineage: Eukaryota; Metazoa; Chordata; Lepidosauria; Squamata; Rhineuridae. The transcript is spliced from 3 exons. The record is from RefSeq and is a predicted model, not a curated record.